RNAcentral lists this ribosomal RNA (292 nucleotides) under uncultured microorganism. Its description in RNAcentral is "partial 16S ribosomal RNA". It matches the Rfam family "Bacterial small subunit ribosomal RNA", at positions 505 to 796 of the family's 1533-position model. The record is from RNAcentral.
GUGCCAGCAGCCGCGGUAAUACGUAGGGUGCGAGCGUUGUCCGGAAUUAUUGGGCGUAAAGAGCUCGUAGGCGGUUUGUCGCGUCGACUGUGAAAACCUGGGGCUUAACCCCGGGCGUGCAGUCGAUACGGGCAGACUUGAGUUCGGCAGGGGAGACUGGAAUUCCUGGUGUAGCGGUGAAAUGCGCAGAUAUCAGGAGGAACACCGGUGGCGAAGGCGGGUCUCUGGGCCGAUACUGACGCUGAGGAGCGAAAGCGUGGGGAGCGAACAGGAUUAGAUACCCUGGUAGUCC